CUCAGGGAGGUAGUGACAAGAAAUAACAACACUGGAAAUUUUAUUUCUAGUGAUUGGAAUGAUGGGAAUUUAAACCCCUUUCAGAGUAACAAUUGGAGGGCAAGUCUGGUGCCAGCAGCCGCGGUAAUUCCAGCUCCAAUAGCGUAUAUUAAAGUUGUUGCAGUUAAAAAGCUCGUAGUUGGAUGUCUGCUGGAAGCAAUCAGUCCGCCCUAUUUGUAGGGUGUGCACUUGAUGAAUUCUGGCAUUUUUGUCCCAAUGAUGUAACGGGGCGGUGGUACUCGGUGAAAGCCGAGUAUCCUGUUUUCCGAUUAUUGGGAUACUGUUACUUUGAGAAAAUUAGAGUGUUUGAAGCAGGCUAAUUGCCUUGAAUACUGCAGCAUGGAAUAACAAUAUAGGAUUUCGGUUCUAUUUUGUUGGUUUCUAGGACUGAAAUAAUGAUUAAUAGGGACAGUUGGGGGCAUUCGUAUUUAACUGUCAGAGGUGAAAUUCUUAGAUUUGUUAAGGACGAACUACUGCGAAAGCAUUUGCCAAAGAUGUUUUCAUUAAUCAAGAACGAAAGUUAGGGGCUCGAAGACGAUCAGAUACCGUCGUAGUCUUAACCAUAAACUAUGCCGACUAGAGAUAGGAAAAUGUCAUUUUGCUGACUU
RNAcentral lists this ribosomal RNA (647 nucleotides) under Sarcocystis sp. RNAcentral describes it as "SSU rRNA". It matches the Rfam family "Eukaryotic small subunit ribosomal RNA", at positions 455 to 1077 of the family's 1831-position model. Lineage: Eukaryota; Apicomplexa; Conoidasida; Eucoccidiorida; Sarcocystidae. The record is from RNAcentral.